Molecule: ribosomal RNA, 330 nt
Filed under: uncultured eukaryote
Lineage: Eukaryota
Description: partial 18S ribosomal RNA
Rfam family: Eukaryotic small subunit ribosomal RNA
Source: RNAcentral
CCCUUAGACGUUCUGGGCCGCACGCGCGCUACACUGACACAGGCAACGAGCUUUCCUUUACCGAAAGGUAUGGGUAAUCUUUUGAAACUGUGUCGUGCUGGGGAUAGAUCCUUGCAAUUUUUGAUCUUAAACGAGGAAUUCCUAGUAAGCGCGAGUCAUCAACUCGCGUUGAUUACGUCCCUGCCCUUUGUACACACCGCCCGUCGCUACUGCCAACUGAGAUGGGUCCUGAAUUGUUAGGAACGCCCGUCAAGGGGCCUACCCGGUCCCUAGUGCGGUGACGAGAAUAACUGUAAAUGGCAUAUCUUGUAGGGAGUAAAAGUCGUAACA